Molecule: unclassified non-coding RNA, 390 nt
Filed under: Hevea brasiliensis (rubber tree)
Lineage: Eukaryota; Viridiplantae; Streptophyta; Magnoliopsida; Malpighiales; Euphorbiaceae
Source: RNAcentral
AAGCACCAAAAUUAUUAAAGCUCAACUGGCUCCAAAUUUAAAAGUUCGAAACAGAAAGCUACACAUAAACAAAGUUCAUUCCUAUACUGGAAUCUCAUGCAAGAAAACAAAAAGGUCUACCCAUUUAUUUUCAAUAUCAAACAGCAAAAAGGAAAAUCCUUUUAGUUUUUACACUCAGUUCAUUUGUUUACCACUUCAUCAUACCCAUUCACCGAUGCAUUUCAGAUCUAAUGAAAUGGCCUUAAAAUAAAAAUUUGCACAGCGGUAGUAGAUAUAGAUUUAUGGCGUGAGGACAAAAGGAUUAAGCAGCACAUGCAAGCCAGUUUUUAACUUCUUUUUAUGGAUUGGUCUCUCGUCGGACUAACCCUAGUUUCAAUUUCGUCCUUGACA